CCUACGGGAGGCAGCAGUGGGGAAUAUUGCACAAUGGGGGAAACCCUGAUGCAGCGACGCCGCGUGAGUGAAGAAGUACUUCGGUAUGUAAAGCUCUAUCAGCAGGGAAGAAAAUGACGGUACCUGAUCAAGAAGCCCCGGCUAACUACGUGCCAGCAGCCGAGGUAAUACGUAGGGGGCAAGCGUUAUCCGGAUUUACUGGGUGUAAAGGGAGCGUAGACGGGAGCACAAGUCCGGUGUGAAAGGCCGGGGCUUAACCCCGAAACUGCUUUGGAAACUGGGCAGCUAGAGUGCAGGAGAGGUAAGUGGAAUUCCUAGUGUAGCGGUGAAAUGCGUAGAUAUUAGGAGGAACACCAGUGGCGAAGGCGGCUUACUGGACUGUAACUGACGUUGAGGCUCGAAAGCGUGGGGAGCAAACAGGAUUAGAUACCCGAGUAGUC
Molecule: ribosomal RNA, 440 nt
Filed under: uncultured bacterium
Lineage: Bacteria
Description: partial 16S ribosomal RNA
Rfam family: Bacterial small subunit ribosomal RNA
Source: RNAcentral